GGAGGGUGCAAGCGUUAAUCGGAAUUACUGGGCGUAAAGCGCACGCAGGCGGUCUGUCAAGUCGGAUGUGAAAUCCCCGGGCUCAACCUGGGAACUGCAUUCGAAACUGGCAGGCUGGAGUCUUGUAGAGGGGGGUAGAAUUCCAGGUGUAGCGGUGAAAUGCGUAGAGAUCUGGAGGAAUACCGGUGGCGAAGGCGGCCCCCUGGACAAAGACUGACGCUCAGGUGCGAAAGCGUGGGGAGCAAACAGGAUUAGAUACCCUGGUAGUCCACGCUGUAAACGAUGUCGACUUGGAGGUUGUUCCCUUGAGGAGUGGCUUCCGGAGCUAACGCGUUAAGUCGACCGCCUGGGGAGUACGGCCGCAAGGUUAAAACUCAAAUGAAUUGACGGGGGCCCGCACAAGCGGUGGAGCAUGUGGUCUAAUUCGAUGCAACGCGAAGAACCUUACCUACUCUUGACAUCCACGGAAUUUGGCAGAGAUGCCUUAGUGCCUUCGGGAACCGUGAGACAGGUGC
RNAcentral lists this ribosomal RNA (515 nucleotides) under bacterium symbiont of Megymenum gracilicorne. RNAcentral describes it as "bacterial SSU rRNA". It matches the Rfam family "Bacterial small subunit ribosomal RNA", at positions 527 to 1041 of the family's 1533-position model. The record is from RNAcentral.